This 146-nucleotide small RNA is filed under the name Arabidopsis thaliana (thale cress). RNAcentral's name for it is "ATSL295550". The record is from RNAcentral. Lineage: Eukaryota; Viridiplantae; Streptophyta; Magnoliopsida; Brassicales; Brassicaceae.
AAUGAAUAAUUCUUUCUAAUGCCCUUUUCAUGAUGUCCCUUUUCAACUCUACCCUUUUGUUUUAUCUAUUUUUAUUUUUUCCCUCUUUAAAUUUUUAAUUACUUUUUUACCCUUAUUUGGAAAUUGUUUUAGGUCAAUAAAAUAAA